Molecule: RNA transcript, 1045 nt
Organism: Trichomycterus rosablanca
Lineage: Eukaryota; Metazoa; Chordata; Actinopteri; Siluriformes; Trichomycteridae
Gene: desi1a
Gene name: desumoylating isopeptidase 1a
Exons: 8
Source: RefSeq, a predicted model, not a curated record
UCAUCAUCCCUCAAAAUAUUCAAAAUGGAUCAGAACAGAACAGCGUUUUCUGUCCAGCUUUAUAUUUAUGACCUGUCGAAAGGGAUGGCACGACAACUUAGCCCAAUUAUGCUCGGGAAGCAGCUGGAUGGGAUUUGGCACACGUCUAUAGUGGUGUAUGGAGAGGAGUUCUACUUCGGGGGAGUAGGAAUCUCCAGCUGCCCUCCGGGUGGAACGAUGCUCGGACCCCCUGAUACAGUGGUGGAGCUGGGCAACACCGAGGUCAAUGAGGAGAUAUUCAUGGACUACUUGUCGUCACUCGGCGAGACCACGUACAGAGGUGAGCGGUACCGGCUGUUUGAACACAACUGCAACUCCUUUUCCAAUGAGGUGGCUCAGUUUCUAACCGGCAGGAAGAUCCCGUCCUACAUCACAGACCUGCCUUCUGAAGUGCUCUCCACGCCAUUCGGUCAAGUUCUGAGGCCAAUUCUGGACUCCAUCCAUAUCGCACCACCUGGUGGAAAUGUCAUCAACAGUCGGAAUAACCAUAGCUAGGAAUAGCACAGGACAGGUAUAGGAGAGGGAAAAAGAGAACACUUCAGGAGCUACAGGGUCUAGUAUGUGCAGGUCCAGCCCAGCCCAUUCUUCUUCUGGAACCACCACCACUAGAGUGAACAUCUGCUUUUAACACUAUUACAGAGACGGUGUACCUCACUGGUGACCAGGUGAUUCAGAAAGAUGAUCUUAUAAUAACGUGUUCAGUCUACAUUGUGGAUUCUCCUGUAAAUCUGACAUUAGCUUCUUCACUGAGUGGCUGAGUUUAUUUCCGCUCAGGUCCAGAUCUCUCAGGUGUGAGGGGUUUGAUCUCAGAGCUGAAGCCAGAGCAGAACAACCUUCAUCUGAUACACCGCAACCCUUCAGACUGUGAACGAAAUAAUAACACCGUUUAGGAUUCAAAACUCAGUUCAGCCCAUAAGUUUAUACACACCUGUAAGAACCAUGCAUGUAUAUGGACGAAAGUAUUGGGACACGCCUUUUAAUUACUGAAUUCAUGUGUUUCAGCUAC